This 460-nucleotide ribosomal RNA is filed under the name uncultured bacterium. RNAcentral's name for it is "partial 16S ribosomal RNA". It matches the Rfam family "Bacterial small subunit ribosomal RNA", at positions 338 to 795 of the family's 1533-position model. The record is from RNAcentral.
CCUACGGGUGACAGCAGUGAGGAAUAUUGGUCAAUGGUCGAGAGUCUGAACCAGCCAAGUAGCGUGAAGGAUGACUGCACUAUGGGUCGUAAACCUCUUUUAUAAAGGAAUAAAACCAGGGACGUGUGCCUUUUUGCAUGUACUUUAUGAAUAAGGAUCGGCUAACUCCGUGCCAGCAGCCGCGGUAAUACGGAGGAUCCGAGCGUUAUCCGGAUUUAUUGGGUUUAAAGGGAGCGGAGACGGGUUGUUAAGUCAGUUGGGAAAUGCUGCGGCUCAACCGUAGACUUGCAGUUGAUACGGGCAGUCUUGAGUAGAAGUGAGGUAUGCGGAAUUCGUGGUGUAGCGGUGAAAUGCAUAGAUAUCACGCAGAACUCCGAUUGCGAAGGCAGCUUACUAGACUCCCACUGACACUGAUGCUCGAAAGUGUGGGUAUCAAACAGGAUUAGAUACCCCUGUAGUC